RNAcentral lists this small nuclear RNA (18 nucleotides) under Arabidopsis thaliana (thale cress). Its description in RNAcentral is "snRNA_11511". The record is from RNAcentral. Lineage: Eukaryota; Viridiplantae; Streptophyta; Magnoliopsida; Brassicales; Brassicaceae.
AGUUGAGUUGACCUAUGA